GCCGCGUGCAGGAAGACGGUCCUAUGGAUUGUAAACUGCUUUUGUACGGGAAGAAUAAGGGCUACGUGUAGCCUGUUGACGGUACCGUAAGAAUAAGGAUCGGCUAACUCCGUGCCAGCAGCCGCGGUAAUACGGAGGAUCCGAGCGUUAUCCGGAAUCAUUGGGUUUAAAGGGUCCGUAGGCGGGCCAUUAAGUCAGGGGUGAAAGUCUGCGGCUCAACCGUAGAAUUGCCCUUGAUACUGGUGGUCUUGAGUUAUGGUGAAGUGGCCGGAAUAUGUAGUGUAGCGGUGAAAUGCAUAGAUAUUACAUAGAACACCGAUUGCGAAGGCAGGUCACUAACCAUAUACUGACGCUGAUGGACGAAAGCGUGGGGAGCGAACAGGAUUAGAUACCCUGGUAGUCCACGCCGUAAACGAUGGAUACUAGCUGUCCGGGCGCAAGCCUGGGCGGCCAAGCGAAAGUGAUAAGUAUCCCACCUGGGGAGUACGUCCGCAAGGAUGAAACUCAAAGGAAUUGACGGGGGCCCGCACAAGCGGUGGAGCAUGUGGUUUAAUUCGAUGAUACGCGAGGAACCUUACCAGGGCUUAAAUGUGGUCUGACAGCUUUAGAGAUAGAGUUUCCUUCGGGCAGAUCACAAGGUGCUGCAUGGUUGUCGUCAGCUCGUGCCGUGAGGUGUCAGGUUAAGUCCUAUAACGAGCGCAACCCCUGCCGUUAGUUGCCAGCAUGUAAUGAUGGGGACUCUAACGGGACUGCCGGUGCAAACCGCGAGGAA
This 772-nucleotide ribosomal RNA is filed under the name Arenibacter sp. NH44N. RNAcentral describes it as "bacterial SSU rRNA". It matches the Rfam family "Bacterial small subunit ribosomal RNA", at positions 396 to 1171 of the family's 1533-position model. Lineage: Bacteria; Pseudomonadati; Bacteroidota; Flavobacteriia; Flavobacteriales; Flavobacteriaceae. The record is from RNAcentral.